AGGACGAACGCUGGCGGCGCGCUUAAUACAUGCAAGUCGAGCGAGAACCGGACCUUCGGGUCCGGGGAAAGCGGCGAACGGGUGAGUAACACGUGGGUAAUCUGCCCUCGGUACUGGGAUAGCCCGGGGAAACCCGGAUUAAUACCGGAU
This 150-nucleotide ribosomal RNA is filed under the name uncultured soil bacterium. Its description in RNAcentral is "partial 16S ribosomal RNA". It matches the Rfam family "Bacterial small subunit ribosomal RNA", at positions 26 to 174 of the family's 1533-position model. The record is from RNAcentral.